RNAcentral lists this ribosomal RNA (701 nucleotides) under Escherichia coli. RNAcentral describes it as "partial 23S ribosomal RNA". It matches the Rfam family "Bacterial large subunit ribosomal RNA", at positions 1185 to 1869 of the family's 2925-position model. Lineage: Bacteria; Pseudomonadati; Pseudomonadota; Gammaproteobacteria; Enterobacterales; Enterobacteriaceae. The record is from RNAcentral.
AACCAUGCACCGAAGCUGCGGCAGCGACGCUGAUGCGUUGUUGGGUAGGGGAGCGUUCUGUAAGCCUGUGAAGGUGUGCUGUGAGGCAUGCUGGAGGUAUCAGAAGUGCGAAUGCUGACAUAAGUAACGAUAAAGCGGGUGAAAAGCCCGCUCGCCGGAAGACCAAGGGUUCCUGUCCAACGUUAAUCGGGGCAGGGUGAGUCGACCCCUAAGGCGAGGCCGAAAGGCGUAGUCGAUGGGAAACAGGUUAAUAUUCCUGUACUUGGUGUUACUGCGAAGGGGGGACGGAGAAGGCUAUGUUGGCCGGGCGACGGUUGUCCCGGUUUAAGCGUGUAGGCUGGUUUUCCAGGCAAAUCCGGAAAAUCAAGGCUGAGGCGUGAUGACGAGGCACUACGGUGCUGAAGCAACAAAUGCCCUGCUUCCAGGAAAAGCCUCUAAGCAUCAGGUAACAUCAAAUCGUACCCCAAACCGACACAGGUGGUCAGGUAGAGAAUACCAAGGCGCUUGAGAGAACUCGGGUGAAGGAACUAGGCAAAAUGGUGCCGUAACUUCGGGAGAAGGCACGCUGAUAUGUAGGUGAAGUCCCUCGCGGAUGGAGCUGAAAUCAGUCGAAGAUACCAGCUGGCUGCAACUGUUUAUUAAAAACACAGCACUGUGCAAACACGAAAGUGGACGUAUACGGUGUGACGCCUGCCCGGUGC